ACCUCCGUUGUUGACAUACACGAAAAAACCCUAUAUAUGGACUAUACUCCAUAUUUUUGGAUUAUUUAAACAACUACAAUGUUUGAGUUCAGGUGGUGCAUCUUCUCCCCAAGAACCACCCAUUGCAGACUUGCUCAUUGUAAGGGCAGGCUGCAUAACUGUCAUACUGAAAGAUGUACGAAUACCUGUCGAAGACAGAAUACAUCAAAAGACUUAAAUUGCACGCUAUCUAAGGUACUUUCUUUGUACGACAUCAGACUUGAAAUAGUCAGAGCGGAUCAAAGAUUUCAUUUUCAAAGUAGAUGUUGUUGUAAACAGGGUAACCUUUACAUAGAUGGAUUACUUUU
Molecule: long non-coding RNA, 347 nt
Organism: Magallana angulata
Lineage: Eukaryota; Metazoa; Mollusca; Bivalvia; Ostreida; Ostreidae
Exons: 3
Source: RefSeq, a predicted model, not a curated record